RNAcentral lists this ribosomal RNA (315 nucleotides) under uncultured eukaryote. RNAcentral describes it as "partial 18S ribosomal RNA". It matches the Rfam family "Eukaryotic small subunit ribosomal RNA", at positions 1470 to 1796 of the family's 1831-position model. The record is from RNAcentral.
CCCUUAGACGUUCUGGGCCGCACGCGCGCUACACUGACCGGUGCAACAAGCAUCCGUCCUUGGCCGACAGGCCCGGGCAAUCUUUGAACGCCGGUCGUGAUGGGGAUAGACUUUUGCAAUUUUUGGUCUUCAACGAGGAAUUCCUAGUAAACGCAAGUCAUCAACUUGCAUUGAUUACGUCCCUGCCCUUUGUACACACCGCCCGUCGCACCUACCGAUUGAAUGGUCCGGUGAAGCCUCCGGAUUGGCGCGCACCUCGGUGCCGCCGAGAAGUUGGCUAAACCUUACCAUUUAGAGGAAGGAGAAGUCGUAACA